RNAcentral lists this small RNA (595 nucleotides) under Pongo abelii (Sumatran orangutan). RNAcentral describes it as "processed transcript". Lineage: Eukaryota; Metazoa; Chordata; Mammalia; Primates; Hominidae. The record is from RNAcentral.
CACUGAUCCAGUGGGAUUACAGCAAAUCACCCUGGCCUGUGCAGGAACUGUGGAAGUUGUCACACCUUUCCCAGAUCCGUUUGCCUACACAGAAAUCAUUGUUUUAGACAAGGCAUUAAUGGAAAAAGUAGGCAGCCGGCCAGCCAGCUAUCCAUCUCCUGCAUCACACAGUCUCUUCCUCCCAGAAUCUGAGAAAACAAAAUCAAGUGGAAAAAUUUCAACUCAAGAACGACUGCAUUUGCCUCCAGACUUGUCAGACACAGUGAGCCGCUCAAGCAAAAUGGAUCUGGCAGAAUCCGCCAAGCGGCUGGGCCCAGGCUGUGGCAUGAUGGCCGGAGGCAAGAAGCACCUGGACUUCUAGGGAUUCCUCCUUAGUCGCUGCAUGCAGAAUUCUGUGACACUCUAAUUAUGAUUGCUAAUAGCUUAUGUAAAUAUUUUUCUUAACAAUUUGACCCUCCGCUCCUUGAAAAACACAUGAUUAUAAAAUGGAGCUGCCAUUUCUCAUUUUUUAACUUUUUACAGAAAUAGCACAGCAGAAAUACUUUUAAAUUUUUUCUUCAUGCUAUAGAAGAAAAUAAUUUUGUUUUUAAAUAAA